AUGUCUUUGUUUUUUCUGAUACAAACGCAUCAGAGAACGCCUAAAAAACAAAUCAGAGAGCACGUUCAUCCAUCUCAAUUAAAAUUAAAAAAAAUACUAAUUACUGUGGACUCGAGCAAUUCUUAUCGCUUGAAGGUUUGCUUUGGUGUUUUUUCGCGCUAAGUUGGGAUUCAUGGAGAUUUAUCCCUGUUGGUUUAUUCGGCUGGUGGCUUUAUCCAGGAGGAACAUCGUCUUGGUUUCACUCCAAGAUCUCAGUUUGCAUCGGGAUUUCAGUUCUCACCAGGAGGUUUGGGCGGAGCUUGCGCUUCGUUCACUAAAAAAGAAUGGGAUCCGGAUCCGGAAUUUUAGCUCCUUCCUUUUCUUGCUGGUUGGGCCCUCACAGACAAAUAUUAUAAUUACAUGUGGAAAAAUCAGGGUAUGUGGACAGAAGCUCCUAAAAGGAAAGACUGGGAAAUGAAGGGUGAAUGAUGGCUUGGAUUUCAUGAUGGCUUAGGCUAUAAGGGAAAGGGACUUUAGUCUGCAGAGACGUGGCCGCCACCAGAAAAUCUGGCUUGCUUUUAGGAGUCCUUUCUUCUGGAUUGUAUGUGUUCUUAUUAUGCUACAUUAAAUGCAACGCCCACUUGGUUAGAUUUGAUUGAGAGAGCAGGUGGCUUGGCAUGGAUUAAAAGGCUUUUUAUAAUUCUUAUUUACACAUGGCUGGUCUGCUUGGAUUUCUCUGUGCUGGUACGUUUUUCUUUCCAAGAAUUAAGGUGUGGGCAUGCAUUUGGAUGUCUCAGUUGAGAUAGUUGGGAGUGGGUUGGUUCAACAUGAUGAUGAAAGGAAAAAAGGA
Molecule: long non-coding RNA, 829 nt
Organism: Populus nigra (black poplar)
Lineage: Eukaryota; Viridiplantae; Streptophyta; Magnoliopsida; Malpighiales; Salicaceae
Exons: 3
Source: RefSeq, a predicted model, not a curated record